UGAAGCUCCUUCGACGAGUCGAGUUGUUUGGGAAUGCAGCUCAAAACGGGAGGUAAAUUUCUUCCAAAGCUAAAUACCGGCCGGAGACCGAUAGUGCACAAGUAGAGUGAUCGAAAGAUGAAAAGCACUUUGGAAAGAGAGUCAAACAGCGCGUGAAAUUGUUAAAAGGGAAGCGCUUGCGGUCAGAACUUGGCCGCCGUUGCUCGGGGAGGUCUCGCGCCUCCCUCGCUCUUCGGCGGCUGGGCCAGCAUCGGUUCGGGCGGCUCGAGAAAGGUCGCGGGAACGUAGCUCCCUCCGGGGAGUGUUAUAGCCCGCGGCGCAAUAGGGCCCGCCUGGACCGAGGUCUGCGCAUUUGCUCGGAUGCUGGCGUAAUGGCCCCAAGCGGCCCGUCUUGAAACACGGACCAAGGAGUCUAACAUUCGUGCGAGUGUUCGGGUGUCAAACCCGUGCGCGCAAUGAAAGUGAACGUAGGUGGGAACCCCUCGCGGGCGCACCAUCGACCGAUCCUGAUGUCUUCGGAUGGAUUUGAGUAUGAGCACGUAUGUUGGGACCCGAAAGAUGGUGAACUAUGCCUAAGCAGGGCGAAGCCAGAGGAAACUCUGGUGGAGGCUCGCAGCGGUUCUGACGUGCAAAUCGAUCGUCAAAUUUGGGUAUAGGGGCGAAAGACU
This 668-nucleotide ribosomal RNA is filed under the name Muyocopron laterale. RNAcentral describes it as "partial 28S ribosomal RNA". It matches the Rfam family "Eukaryotic large subunit ribosomal RNA", at positions 247 to 932 of the family's 3401-position model. The record is from RNAcentral. Lineage: Eukaryota; Fungi; Ascomycota; Dothideomycetes; Muyocopronales; Muyocopronaceae.